RNAcentral lists this unclassified non-coding RNA (179 nucleotides) under uncultured Herpotrichiellaceae. RNAcentral describes it as "sequence contains ITS2". Lineage: Eukaryota; Fungi; Ascomycota; Eurotiomycetes; Chaetothyriales; Herpotrichiellaceae. The record is from RNAcentral.
UCACCCCUCAAGCCCCGCGCUUGGUGUUGGACGGCCGGUCACGCCAUGGCGUUGACCCCUCCUAAAGAUAACGACGGCGGCCUGUGGUUCCCCCGGUACACUGAGUGUCUCGACACACGUAUCGGACAAGGGCGCCCGGGUCCCGGUCCUCUCCCCUCACCGGGAAAUUUAUAAUACAA